RNAcentral lists this ribosomal RNA (404 nucleotides) under uncultured Rhodospirillales bacterium. RNAcentral describes it as "bacterial SSU rRNA". It matches the Rfam family "Bacterial small subunit ribosomal RNA", at positions 355 to 776 of the family's 1533-position model. Lineage: Bacteria; Pseudomonadati; Pseudomonadota; Alphaproteobacteria; Rhodospirillales. The record is from RNAcentral.
UGGGGAAUAUUGGACAAUGGGGGCAACCCUGAUCCAGCAAUGCCGCGUGAGUGAUGAAGGCCUUCGGGUUGUAAAGCUCUUUUGGCGGGGACGAUGAUGACGGUACCCGCAGAAUAAGCCCCGGCUAACUUCGUGCCAGCAGCCGCGGUAAUACGAAGGGGGCUAGCGUUGUUCGGAAUUACUGGGCGUAAAGGGCGCGUAGGCGGCUUUCCAAGUCAGGCGUGAAAAUCCUGGGCUUAACCCGGGGACUGCGCUUGAUACUGGAAGGCUUGAAUUCGGGAGAGGAUGGCGGAAUUCCCAGUGUAGAGGUGAAAUUCGUAGAUAUUGGGAAGAACACCGGUAGCGAAGGCGGCCAUCUGGACCGACAUUGACGCUGAGGCGCGAAAGCGUGGGGAGCAAACAGG